CCUACGGGUGGCUGCAGUGAGGAAUAUUGGUCAAUGGGCGCGAGCCUGAACCAGCCAAGUAGCGUGAAGGAUGACUGCCCUACGGGUUGUAAACUUCUUUUAUAAAGGAAUAAAGUGAGGCACGUGUGCCUUUUUGUAUGUACUUUAUGAAUAAGGAUCGGCUAACUCCGUGCCAGCAGCCGCGGUAAGACAUAGGGGGCAAGCGUUGUUCGGAAUUACUGGGCGUAAAGGGUGCGUAGGCGGGAGAUUAAGUUAAGAGUGAAAGCCUUGGGCUCAACCCAAGAAAUGCUCUUAAUACUGGUUUUCUAGAGUGUGGGAGAGGUAAGUGGAAUGCCUGGUGUAGCGGUAGAAUGCGCAGAGAUUAGGAGGAACAUCAGAGGCGAAGGCGGCUUACUGGACCAUAACUGACGCUGAGGCUCGAAAGCGUGGGGAGCAAACAGGAUUAGAUACCCCAGUAGUC
This 460-nucleotide ribosomal RNA is filed under the name uncultured bacterium. Its description in RNAcentral is "partial 16S ribosomal RNA". It matches the Rfam family "Bacterial small subunit ribosomal RNA", at positions 338 to 795 of the family's 1533-position model. The record is from RNAcentral.